RNAcentral lists this ribosomal RNA (460 nucleotides) under uncultured Anaerolineaceae bacterium. RNAcentral's name for it is "bacterial SSU rRNA". It matches the Rfam family "Bacterial small subunit ribosomal RNA", at positions 910 to 1382 of the family's 1533-position model. The record is from RNAcentral. Lineage: Bacteria; Bacillati; Chloroflexota; Anaerolineae; Anaerolineales; Anaerolineaceae.
UUGACGGGCCCCGCACAAGCAGCGGAGCGUGUGGUUUAAUUCGAUGCUACACGAAGAACCUUACCAGGGUUUGACAUACAAGUAGUAGGGAAAGGAAACUGGACCGACCCUUCGGGGAGCUUGAACAGGUGCUGCAUGGCUGUCGUCAGCUCGUGUCGUGAGAUGUUCGGUUAAGUCCGCUAACGAGCGCAACCCUCGCUGUGUGUUACAAGUGUCACACGGGACUGCCGGUCAUAAACCGGAGGAAGGUGGGGAUGACGUCAAGUCAGCAUGGCCUUUAUAUCCUGGGCUACACACACGCUACAAUGGGAAGGGACAAUAGGUUGCGAAACCGCGAGGUGGAGCCAAUCCAGCAAAACUUCCCUCAGUUCAGAUUGCAGGCUGCAACUCGCCUGCAUGAAGUUGGAGUUGCUAGUAAACGCAGGUCAGCCAUACUGCGUUGAAUACGUUCCCGGGGCUU